RNAcentral lists this ribosomal RNA (280 nucleotides) under Mediterraneibacter faecis JCM 15917. RNAcentral describes it as "[Ruminococcus] faecis JCM 15917 partial 16S ribosomal RNA". It matches the Rfam family "Bacterial small subunit ribosomal RNA", at positions 496 to 776 of the family's 1533-position model. The record is from RNAcentral. Lineage: Bacteria; Bacillati; Bacillota; Clostridia; Lachnospirales; Lachnospiraceae.
UUUAAUUGUUGCCAGCAGCCGCGGUAAUACGGAGGGUGCAAGCGUUAUCCGGAUUUACUGGGUGUAAAGGGAGCGUAGACGGAGUGGCAAGUCUGAUGUGAAAACCCGGGGCUCAACCCCGGGACUGCAUUGGAAACUGUCAAUCUAGAGUACCGGAGAGGUAAGCGGAAUUCCUAGUGUAGCGGUGAAAUGCGUAGAUAUUAGGAGGAACACCAGUGGCGAAGGCGGCUUACUGGACGGUAACUGACGUUGAGGCUCGAAAGCGUGGGGAGCAAACAGG